This 197-nucleotide ribosomal RNA is filed under the name uncultured Gammaproteobacteria bacterium. RNAcentral describes it as "partial 16S ribosomal RNA". It matches the Rfam family "Bacterial small subunit ribosomal RNA", at positions 335 to 524 of the family's 1533-position model. Lineage: Bacteria; Pseudomonadati; Pseudomonadota; Gammaproteobacteria. The record is from RNAcentral.
ACUCCUACGGGAGGCAGCAGUGGGGAAUAUUGGACAAGGGGGCCAAGCCUGAUCCAGCAAUGCCGCGUGGGUGAAGAAGGCCAACGGGUUGUAAAGCCCUUUAGGUGGGGAAGAAGUAUGGGGUGCGAACAGUGCUCUAUUUUGACAUUACCCACAGAAUAAGCACCGGCUAACUCCGUGCCAGCAGCCGCGGUAAU